RNAcentral lists this ribosomal RNA (642 nucleotides) under uncultured bacterium. RNAcentral's name for it is "bacterial SSU rRNA". It matches the Rfam family "Bacterial small subunit ribosomal RNA", at positions 241 to 898 of the family's 1533-position model. The record is from RNAcentral.
UUAGCUAGUUGGCGGGGUAACGGCCCACCAAGGCGAAGAUCGGUAUCCGGCCUGAGAGGGCGCACGGACACACUGGAACUGAAACACGGUCCAGACUCCUACGGGAGGCAGCAGUGGGGAAUUUUGCGCAUGGACGAAAGUCUGACGCAGCAACGCCGCGUGAGGGACGAAGGCUUUCUGAGUUGUAAACCUCUUUCAGCAGGGACGAUUGUGACGGUACCUGCAGAAGAAGCACCGGCCAACUACGUGCCAGCAGCCGCGGUGAUACGUAGGGUGCAAGCGUUGUCCGGAUUUAUUGGGCGUAAAGAGCUCGUAGGCGGCUUGGCAAGUCGGGUGUGAAAUCUCCAGGCUCAACCUGGAGCGGCCACUCGAUACUGCCAUGGCUAGAGUCCGGUAGGGGACCAUGGAAUUCCUGGUGUAGCGGUGAAAUGCGCAGAUAUCAGGAGGAACACCAGCAGCGAAGGCGGUGGUCUGGGCCGGUACUGACGCUGAGGAGCGAAAGCGUGGGGAGCGAACAGGAUUAGAUACCUGGUAGUCCACGCCGUAAACGUUGGGCACUAGGUGUGGGGCCUUAUCGACGGGUUCCGUGCCGCAGCUAACGCAUUAAGUGCCCCGCCUGGGGAGUACGGCCGCAAGGCUAAA